Molecule: long non-coding RNA, 3788 nt
Filed under: Homo sapiens (human)
Lineage: Eukaryota; Metazoa; Chordata; Mammalia; Primates; Hominidae
Description: non-protein coding lnc-LAP3-1:2
Source: RNAcentral
GUGUGUGUGUGUGUGUGUGUGUGUGUGUGUGUGUGUAUGUGUAUAUGCGUAUAUAUGUGUAUGUAUGUGUGUAUAUAUAUAUGUGUGUGUGUAUAUAUAUAUAUGCAAUUAUACCUUUAUCCCUACUCUAGUCCACCUUCCUAUAAAUAAGAUGUAUUGAGAUGCUCAGUGCCCCCAUUCUGACAGCAUCCAAUCGAGUGAAUCCUCACUUCCUUGAAAUCACCCAACCAGGGCCAGAAUCCUAAAAGAGGUUCUUUGUGACACCCUCUGUCUGAGAAGUCCUAUGGUUCUCUGUGAUGAAUAGACCCAACUUGUUCAAAUACAGGCAUUUCUGGUGGGCUUUGGCUGAAGGCAUUCACACCCCCCAGUGAAUGUCUUGCACUUCUAAUUGUGUCUCGGGGCAUGCCUGGUGGAGGACCUGACUGAGACAAUUGUGACUGGAUGUGGUCUGAGAGCAGGCAGUAGGAUGAGGCUUGGGGACUGGCUCACUCACUGCCCAACUGGUAGCAAAACCCAUCUGGAGCAGCGUGUGAGGUAUGGACACUCACUCACACGAGGGGGUGGCCCAGUUGCUGAGGAUUCCACCAGUGGUACCCUGGGAAAAUAUCCCUGUGGAGGGGAAUGGGAGGAGUCAAACUGUGGAAGAUAAGAGGAGUACUGCACACAAGGACAGUAGAGUGUCUGUUCCCUGCAGAGGGAUAGUGAGGAACUGAUGAGGUGACUGUGAGUGCCCGGGGCCUCUGUCGUUAUCUUGGAGGAUCACUUUGAGGUCAGGAGUUCAUGACCAGCCUGGCCAACAUGGUGAAACCCUGUCUCUACUAAAAAUACAUUAAUUAGCAUGGUGGCGGGUGCCUGUAGUCCCAGCUACUCGGGAGGCUGAGGCAGGAGAAUCGCUUGAACCCGGGAGGCCGAGGUUGCAGUGAGCUGAGAUGGCGCCACUGCACCCCAGCUUGGGUGACAGAGCAAGACUCCGUCUCAAAAACAAACACACAGUACUGCAUCCUGGGGGUGGAGGUGAGGUGACGGUAGAGAUCAGUGCUACCCUUGGAAAUCUGACAGAUACAGUAAGAUGGUCCCUAUCAUAGUUCCAUUUAAUUUGCCAGCCUCAUCUGCAGAAUCCAGAUGGAUCCUGGAGAAAAAUUAACCAAGUAGCCUCAAUCACAAAUGUUGGGUUGGAUAUUACAUCAGUGUUAGAGCAGUUAAGGGCUCAGGUAUGUGGUGUGCAGCCAUUGACUGGGUGAAUCCAUUUUUACCUACCCCAAUUACAAAACAGUUUGCUUUCAUGUGGAACAGAUAGUAUUCCUUUCAGUUUUGCUGCAGGAACAUAUUAACUCUUCCACCCCUGUCAUAAUACAGCCUGAAGAGAUUUACCAUUAAAUACUGUUUUUUUCUCUCUCUUAACUUAAUCCCGAAUUGGAUAAUUUCUCUUCAUCUUCACUGUCACCUCUACGCCAUCACUGUCAUCUCUAGACCGCUCUGCUGUUGAGAGAUUGAUGGAAUCAUUAUGCAAACUAAAAUAGAAUGUUUUAUCUAUCAAAUUGUAUUUCUUUGUCAAUAGUGUUAGGGCACAGUAGGUUCAUUUACUGCUGGUAAGGGUGUAAAUUGUUAGAAACUUUCUGAAUGGCAGUUUGGUAAUAACAAACAAAAAGCUUAAGUUUGUGUCCUUAAAUGCCUUACUUCAAUACCCAAGGCAUAUGGCCUCAAUAAAAAAUUAUGGAAGCAUGCAAAGAUUUUGUUAACAAAGAUAUAAUCAUUGCAGGGUAGAAUUUAGAAAUUUAAGACUGAAAGAUCUUUUCAGUCACCUGCAGCAAGAAAGGAGUCAAAACCUAUGUACGAUCUCAACUAGUAAAAUUUUCUCCUUGCCCAGGGAUCAUGCUGAGUUUAAGGACAGAAAUGCAAAGUGCAGCCUGGGAAAGUGUUUCAACACACAAAAAUAGAACCACCUGUAUGUAGUCUUUUUGAAAGCACAAAAUAAAGAGCAGUCCUACAGGGUUCACUGCUAUGUCCUGAAUGUUGAUGUCCCUUCCAAAAUUCAUAUGUUGGAACCUAAUGUCAAUGUAAUAGUAUUAAGAGGUGGGGCUUUUGGGAAGCAAUGGAGUCAUGAGGGCUUCACCCUCAUGAGUAGGAUAAGUACCCUUACAAAAGAGGCUCAGGGAGGCGCUCUUGCCUCUUCCACCAUGUAAGGACACGUAGCAGGCACCCAUUUCUGAAGAAUGGGCCCUCCCCAGACUCCAUAUCUGCUGGUGCCUUGAUCUUGGACUUAGCCUCUAGGACUGUGAGUGACAUAUUUCUAUUGUUUAUAAAUUAUCCAGUAUAAGUAAGAUAUUUUGUUAGAGCAGCCUGAACGAACUAAGACACUCUAAGCGGGAAACUCACAAAAAAUAUUUGGUAGUGAAAAACAGUAUGGUGUGUUAAUGUAUGGUGACAAGUGUUUGUUUGCAUUUAAAAAUGCAUUGGAGCCUCGUUUUGAUUAGGCAGUAAAUUUACCUUUAAUACGUAAGUUUGACAGUUAUAUGUAAUCAGCUUUUUUUUUUUUAAGAUGGUGUGAUUGAGGUUAAUGUGAACUGAACUUUCUAUUUCUAAGCUGUCUUCAUCUAAUUUUACCUUUCUGUGGAAAAUCAAUACAAGUCAACCAUUUUUAUUGCCCAGUUAUUCAAAGUUUUAUUCAAAGAGCAAAGAUUUGACAAUGCAUAGAAUUAACAUUGGUUUGUGGGCCACCUUCUGGGCCAGCACCAAAGACUGAAAAAAUAUUUUGCCCCCUAAAAGUUGUUAUUGAGUCUUGUCAAAUCACAUUGCUCUGUCAGAAGGUAAGACAAAUCAGUGUGGACUGAGAGCAAGGUCAGCACCGUGAACAGCCAUUGCGGUUCCUUUAACCCACUGGGAAUUCAUGCAGUGAAGAAGCAACACACCAUGAGGCAAAUGGCUCAAACCCAAAGACCAGAGGUUCAGGGGAUAUAUAUAUAUAUUUUUUUAAUCUGUAGAGAUGGGAUCUCACUAUCUUGCCCAGGCUGGUCUCGAACUCUUGGGCUCAUGCUGUCCUACCUCAGACUUCCAAGUAGCUGGGUUUUCUUUGGGCUAAUUAUUUUUUUGUAGAGAUGGAGGUCUCGCUGUGUUGCCCAGGCUGGUCUCAAAUUCCUGGCCUCAAGCUCUCCUCCCAUCUCAGCCUCCCAAAGUGUUGGGAUUACAGGCAUGAGCCAUGUGCCCAGUCUAGAAGAUCUUUGACUUCAAAGAACAGAUAAUCUAGAGACCUUCACAAGUGAUCAUGUUGGCACUAUGGUCAUUACACUGAGACCUAUAACUGGGCUAGGAUUGGUUAUUUACAGAAAAACCUUGUGGUACUUAAUUCCAAUUCAUGUUAAUUUAUGUUAUCUUGCUUAAUCCUUGCAAAGCCCUUUUAGAGGUGGGUGUUAUCCCAUCUAUAAUCUGCUGCUUGUCUUAGACCAAGGAAGUGAAAGUAUUCAGUCCAAGCAUGCUACCAUCCAUUUCUGGUAGGUUUGGUUUGUUUUUAGUUGGCUUUCCUGUUUAACUGUUAUUUGUCUUCCUAUUGAGGUUAGAUGUGCAUUUUGGAAUUGCAUCAUUUUACAUAGAAACAGCUUUCCAGUGGAGUUGACUAGCAUCCUAAGGACAAGUACAACCACUUUUGAAAUAGAUCAUGGAAAUCACAAAGUCUGAUGUUCCACAAAAUGGAGUAUGAUGUUAUGGACACUAGAAAUACAAGGUAUGGGUCAUUAGUAACGCUAAUAACAUUUUCCUAUAGAUGACUUUUAAUAACACUGGUUUAAUGUCAA